UCCGCGGUAGCCCAGUUGGUAGAGGCGUCAGCAGUACUAUUGCCGAAAGAGCAAGUUCUUAUCCUGCCUGCGGUG
This is a non-coding RNA of Phthorimaea operculella (potato tuberworm), 75 nucleotides long. NCBI's taxonomy places the organism in Eukaryota, Metazoa, Arthropoda, Insecta, Lepidoptera, Gelechiidae. The record is from the annotation of a GenBank genome assembly.